Molecule: ribosomal RNA, 383 nt
Filed under: uncultured eukaryote
Lineage: Eukaryota
Description: partial 18S ribosomal RNA
Rfam family: Eukaryotic small subunit ribosomal RNA
Source: RNAcentral
CAAUAGCGUAUAUUAAAGUUGUUGCAGUUAAAAAGCUCGUAGUUGGAUUUCUGGUUUUGUUUGUUUGGUACACUGCAAAGUGUAUUACAGAUUAAGCAAAUGCCAUAUUUGUGAGGAACUAUUGUUGUGAUUCAUUUCACGCGGUAGGGAAUCGCAUCGUUUACUGUGAAAAAAUUAGAGUGUUUAAAGCAGGCUUGAUUGCAUUGAAUACAUUAGCAUGGAAUAAUAAGAUAGGACUUUGGUGCUAUUUUAUUGGUUUGCACACCAAAGUAAUGAUUAAUAGGGACAGUUGGGGGUAUUCGUAUUUAGUUGUCAGAGGUGAAAUUCUUGGAUUUACGAAAGACGAACAACUGCGAAAGCAUUUACCAAGGAUGUUUUCAUUA